AUAGGGGAGCCGGAGGGAAACCGAGUCUUAAUUGGGCGUUAAGUUGCAGGGUAUAGACCCGAAACCCGGUGAUCUAGCCAUGGGCAGGUUGAAGGUUGGGUAACACUAACUGGAGGACCGAACCGACUAAUGUUGAAAAAUUAGCGGAUGACCUGUGGCUGGGGGUGAAAGGCCAAUCAAACCGGGAGAUAGCUGGUUCUCCCCGAAAGCUAUUUAGGUAGCGCCUCGUGAAUUCAUCUCCGGGGGUAGAGCACUGUUUCGGCUAGGGGGCCAUCCCGGCUUACCAACCCGAUGCAAACUGCGAAUACCGGAGAAUGUUAUCACGGGAGACACACGGCGGGUGCUAACGUCCGUCGUGAAGAGGGAAACAACCCAGACCGCCAGCUAAGGUCCCAAAGUCAUGGUUAAGUGGGAAACGAUGUGGGAAGGCCCAGACAGCCAGGAUGUUGGCUUAGAAGCAGCCAUCAUUUAAAGAAAGCGUAAUAGCUCACUGGUCGAGUCGGCCUGCGCGGAAGAUGUAACGGGGCUAAACCAUGCACCGAAGCUGCGGCAGCGACGCUGAUGCGUUGUUGGGUAGGGGAGCGUUCUGUAAGCCUGCGAAGGUGUGUCGUGAGGCAUGCUGGAGGUAUCAGAAGUGCGAAUGCUGACAUAAGUAACGAUAAAGCGGGUGAAAAGCCCGCUCGCCGGAAGACCAAGGGUUCCUGUCCAACGUUAAUCGGGGCAGGGUGAGUCGACCCCUAAGGCGAGGCCGAAAGGCGUAGUCGAUGGGAAACGGGUUAAUAUUCCCGUACUUGGUGUUACUGCGAAGGGGGGACGGAGAAGGCUAUGUUGGCCGGGCGACGGUUGUCCCGGUUUAAGCGUGUAGGCUGGUUUUCCAGGCAAAUCCGGAAAAUCAAGGCUGAGGCGUGACGACGAGGCACUACGGUGCUGAAGCAACAAAUGCCCUGCUUCCAGGAAAAGCCUCUAAGCAUCAGGUAACAUCAAAUCGUACCCCAAACCGACACAGGUGGUCAGGUAGAGAAUACCAAGGCGCUUGAGAGAACUCGGGUGAAGGAACUAGGCAAAAUGGUGCCGUAACUUCGGGAGAAGGCACGCUGACACGUAGGUGAAGUGAUUUACUCAUGGAGCUGAAGUCAGUCGAAGAUACCAGCUGGCUGCAACUGUUUAUUAAAAACACAGCACUGUGCAAACACGAAAGUGGACGUAUACGGUGUGACGCCUGCCCGGUGCCGGAAGGUUAAUUGAUGGGGUCAGCGCAAGCGAAGCUCCUGAUCGAAGCCCCGGUAAACGGCGGCCGUAACUAUAACGGUCCUAAGGUAGCGAAAUUCCUUGUCGGGUAAGUUCCGACCUGCACGAAUGGCGUAAUGAUGGCCAGGCUGUCUCCACCCGAGACUCAGUGAAAUUGAACUCGCUGUGAAGAUGCAGUGUACCCGCGGCAAGACGGAAAGACCCCGUGAACCUUUACUAUAGCUUGACACUGAACAUUGAGCCUUGAUGUGUAGGAUAGGUGGGAGGCUUUGAAGUGUGGACGCCAGUCUGCAUGGAGCCGGCCUUGAAAUACCACCCUUUAAUGUUUGAUGUUCUAACGUGGACCCGUGAUCCGGGUUGCGGACAGUGUCUGGUGGGUAGUUUGACUGGGGCGGUCUCCUCCUAAAGAGUAACGGAGGAGCACGAAGGUUGGCUAAUCCUGGUCGGACAUCAGGAGGUUAGUGCAAUGGCAUAAGCCAGCUUGACUGCGAGCGUGACGGCGCGAGCAGGUGCGAAAGCAGGUCAUAGUGAUCCGGUGGUUCUGAAUGGAAGGGCCAUCGCUCAACGGAUAAAAGGUACUCCGGGGAUAACAGGCUGAUACCGCCCAAGAGUUCAUAUCGACGGCGGUGUUUGGCACCUCGAUGUCGGCUCAUCACAUCCUGGGGCUGAAGUAGGUCCCAAGGGUAUGGCUGUUCGCCAUUUAAAGUGGUACGCGAGCUGGGUUUAGAACGUCGUGAGACAGUUCGGUCCCUAUCUGCCGUGGGCGCUGGAGAACUGAGGGGGGCUGCUCCUAGUACGAGAGGACCGGAGUGGACGCAUCACUGGUGUUCGGGUUGUCAUGCCAAUGGCACUGCCCGGUAGCUAAAUGCGGAAGAGAUAAGUGCUGAAAGCAUCUAAGCACGAAACUUGCCCCGA
RNAcentral lists this ribosomal RNA (2163 nucleotides) under Salmonella enterica subsp. enterica. Its description in RNAcentral is "partial 23S ribosomal RNA". It matches the Rfam family "Bacterial large subunit ribosomal RNA", at positions 657 to 2802 of the family's 2925-position model. The record is from RNAcentral. Lineage: Bacteria; Pseudomonadati; Pseudomonadota; Gammaproteobacteria; Enterobacterales; Enterobacteriaceae.